GAUUAUGGCUCAGGAUGAACGCUAGCGGCAGGCCUAAUACAUGCAAGUCGUACGGGAGACGCCCUUCGGGGUGUCGAGGGUGGCGGACGGGUGCGUAACGCGUAUGCAACCCACCCCCGACGGGCGGAUGGCCGGUGGAAACGCCGGAUAACCCGCCAUGCGGCCCCACAGGGGCAUCCCUGUGGAGUCAAAGCGGCGACGCGGUCGGGGACGGGCAUGCGUCCCAUUAGAUAGCAGGCGGGGUGACGGCCCACCUGGUCGACGAUGGGUAGGGGAUCUGAGAGGACGGUCCCCCCACACUGGUACUGAGACACGGACCAGACUCCUGCGGGAGGCAGCAGUAAGGGAUAUUGGUCAAUGGACGAGAGUCUGAACCAGCCAAGUCGCGUGCAGGAAGAAUGUCCUAUGGAUUGUAAACUGCUUUUGCAGGGGAAUAAAGUGCAUCACGUGUGAUGUUUUGUAUGUACUCUGCGAAUAAGGAUCGGCUAACUCCGUGCCAGCCGCGGC
RNAcentral lists this ribosomal RNA (507 nucleotides) under uncultured bacterium. RNAcentral's name for it is "bacterial SSU rRNA". It matches the Rfam family "Bacterial small subunit ribosomal RNA", at positions 15 to 518 of the family's 1533-position model. The record is from RNAcentral.